RNAcentral lists this ribosomal RNA (315 nucleotides) under uncultured eukaryote. RNAcentral describes it as "partial 18S ribosomal RNA". It matches the Rfam family "Eukaryotic small subunit ribosomal RNA", at positions 1470 to 1796 of the family's 1831-position model. The record is from RNAcentral.
CCCUUAGAUGUUCUGGGCCGCACGCGUGCUACACUGAGUAAAUCAAUGGGUAAGGGAACACGAAAGUGCAACCUAAUCUUCAAAUUUGCUCGUGAUGGGGAUCGACGGUUGCAAUUUUCCGUCGUGAACGAGGAAUACCUUGUAGGCGCGUGUCAUCAUCACGCGCCGAAUACGUCCCUGCCCUUUGUACACACCGCCCGUCGCUCCUACCGAUUUCGAGUGGUCCGGUGAAUCUUUCGGACUGCGCGCGGCCUUGAGUCGUGUCGCGGAAAGUCAGGUAAACCUUAUCACUUAGAGGAAGGAGAAGUCGUAACA